GUCGCAGUUUCAGUUUCAUCCCUCUUACAAAACAGCUUAAGCUUCGGCCGUUCAUCCACCGGAUCACUUUAAAACCACCACCCCCAUUGUUGUCAGUCAGCUUUGCUGUUCUUCCUCUCUAGGCUCGAUGUUUUCGUUCACCAGUCACCGCUUUCAAGCCAUUGCUGUUGUUAUUUAGAUUGAACUGAAGGAGCCCCAAUAGCUACUUACCCCUCUCCCUCGCUUUUUUCUGUCGAAAUCGUUCUCUUUCAGAGCUUCACGAUCUUCAUCCACCCAAAAACUUGUCCGAUUGAAUGAAGUAAAUUUUAUCAGUGAUUCGAUUAUUUCCCCUAUCCAAGUCCUAAUAAACUGAGAUAAACUCUCUUCAAACUAACUGUUUGUUUGUAGACAUGCUUUGUUUAGUUGGGUUUUGUUUCUAAAUAUGAUUCGUUUA
This 433-nucleotide unclassified non-coding RNA is filed under the name Hevea brasiliensis (rubber tree). Lineage: Eukaryota; Viridiplantae; Streptophyta; Magnoliopsida; Malpighiales; Euphorbiaceae. The record is from RNAcentral.